UCGUAAUACUAUAUAACGUUAUAAGUUAUCUCAUAGUAGUAUAUAACGUUAUACGUUAUAUCGUGAUAGCAUAUAACGUUAUACGUUAUAUCGUAAUAGCAUAUAACGUUAUACGUUAUAUCGUAAUACUAUAUAACGUUAUACGUUAUCUCAUAGUAGUAUAUAACGUUAUACGUUAUAUCGUAAUAGGAUAUAACGUUAUACGUUAUAUCGUAAUAGCAUAUAACGUUAUACGUUAUAUCGUAAUACUAUAUAACGUUAUACGUUAUAUCGUAAUACUAUAUAACGUUAUAUGUUAUAUCGUAAUACUAUAUAACGUUAUACGCUAUAUCGUA
RNAcentral lists this unclassified non-coding RNA (335 nucleotides) under Bombus terrestris (buff-tailed bumblebee). Its description in RNAcentral is "misc RNA ENSBTSG00005034699.1". The record is from RNAcentral. Lineage: Eukaryota; Metazoa; Arthropoda; Insecta; Hymenoptera; Apidae.